AUGGCGGACACAGUCUGCUCUGCCGUCGCCGGCGAGGCAGUGCAAAGAUUAUGUUUGCUUUUAUCAGGAGAAGGCGAGACCGGCGAGAUGAAGGUGGAUCGAGUAGAAAUGGCCGUGCUCAAGCUCCAGACCAUCGUCGCCAUGUCCGAAGACUGGCAGGUCACGCACGCACCGCUGCUCCGUCGGAAGGCCAAGUUGAAGCGUGUGAUCAAGGAAGGCAAAGGCAUCGUACGCUCCAACAAAAGAAACACCGGCACCUUGGAGGAGCCGGGGAUGGCGCGAAGCAGCUCCUUUCCACGGCGCGUGGCGCGAGCAGCCAAGCGGUUCAUGCCGUUCAGCCGGGGUACAGUUCCCGGCGACGAUCUGACCGACUCCGCGGUGCGGAGGUUCGAGAGGAUAGCCGACGGCGCCGACGGCUUCUUCGAGUUGGUCAGGUGCGGCGGCCGUCCCAAGACCCUGAUGUUCCUCCCGUCGUUCGCGCGGUCGUUGGCGGCCGGGGAGGCGGCGGAAUUGUCGCUCAGGAUGGAGGGCGGCACCGCGGUGAUGCUGCUCCAGCCAUGGUGGCUUGAGCUCGAAGGAGGCGACGGGACGACGGCGGCGGCGGCGUGCCUGUGGAUGUCCUACGAGCACGACGUGGCGUGGGAGAAGAACUUCAAGAUGAUGGCGGCGUUCCGCGUCUCCGAGUCCCUGGACGCCAUGAGGGUCGCCACGAGCUGCGUCGAGCUCCUGCCGCCCCAGUUCGGCGCUGCCCGUGAGGCCAUGAAGGAUCUCCUCGCCGGGAUGGCCGUCCACGGAAGGAACUCCCCUGCCCCGUCUGCCAUGUACCCGUCCUUCGUUCGCGCCGUCCAACGCUGCCACCGCUACGGCUUCGAGCCGACGCGGCCCCGGGCCGCGCCACGGUCGCGGUUGCCCGCUGAGAUCCUGAUGGCGUGCGCCCACUUCUACAUCCUCCCGCUCCAGAAUUCGUCCGGUUUGCCUCUGGAGCUGGUCUGGCACAGCUCCCCGGUUUACCUGCCCAAGAAGCUCUCGGAGCAGCACGAGCACGUCGAGCCGGAGCAGAUACGCGCCGGCCUGUUGCCGACGACGGCAGAUGGGCUUUCCUACCACGACGAGGCAGGAGGAUCAUUCGAGCUCGGGAGGCAAUGGUGGUGUCCGCACAGCUCGACGCGCCUGUCGGUGGUGCCGGUGCCUUCACCGCCCAAAUCCACAUUUGGACAGUGGUGCAAGGGAAGUUGGACAUUUCGCGGGAAAUAA
RNAcentral lists this ribosomal RNA (1254 nucleotides) under Triticum aestivum (bread wheat). RNAcentral's name for it is "partial small subunit ribosomal RNA". The record is from RNAcentral. Lineage: Eukaryota; Viridiplantae; Streptophyta; Magnoliopsida; Poales; Poaceae.